CCUACGGGAGGCAGCAGUGGGGAAUAUUGGACAAUGGGCGAAAGCCUGAUCCAGCAAUGCCGCGUGAGUGAUGAAGGCCUUAGGGUUGUAAAGCUCUUUUACCCGGGAAGAUAAUGACUGUACCGGGAGAAUAAGCCCCGGCUAACUCCGUGCCAGCAGCCGCGGUAAU
This 169-nucleotide ribosomal RNA is filed under the name uncultured bacterium. Its description in RNAcentral is "partial 16S ribosomal RNA". It matches the Rfam family "Bacterial small subunit ribosomal RNA", at positions 338 to 524 of the family's 1533-position model. The record is from RNAcentral. RNAcentral also lists the same sequence under 2 other names.